Molecule: long non-coding RNA, 4160 nt
Organism: Suricata suricatta (meerkat)
Lineage: Eukaryota; Metazoa; Chordata; Mammalia; Carnivora; Herpestidae
Source: Ensembl
GGAUGGGGCCAGGCACCCGCGGUGACACCCGCAAGGGCAGGGCAGGGAUUUGCCGUGAGGCUUGCUUCUUGGGCACCUGCAGCUGUACAAAAGCCGGGUGACCUGUGCACAUCUGCGCGUCCGGGGCCAGGUGUGGUGUGGGGACACUGAAUCCACUGAAAAGGAAGUGUGCUGGCCGCGUGCCAGAACCCGGCAGGGGGCAUGUCCCAGGAGGAACGGACCCCUCAGGGGUCUGCGUGGGCAGCCGAGGCUGAGAGCUGCCACACAGAUGUCCUGGGAUCUGUCGCCCCAGGGCUGCCCCUCAUCACUGCUGGCAGACGGCUGGGGUCACAUCACCCAGGAUGGCCCGGGGAGCUCCAGGCCGCAGCAAUGUGGAGCCUGAUGCAAUCCCUGCCGUCCUGCACCGGCGGCCAGGCUCAGCCUGGACUCUGCCCUUCCCGGCCUCCAGCUGCCCCGCCCCCACCGGUCCCUCGCCCCGGGCCUUCCCCUCCCACCUCUCAAACUCCAGGGCCUGGAGCAGUGUGGCGUCCUGCGGUACAUCGCAGGACCACUGGCUGGCCCGCGGGUUCCCGUUCUGGGCGGGAGGAGAGGACAAGGAGAGGGGAGGACGGACAUGAGAAGGACAGGACCUCCCUCCUCGCAUCGCCCUCCCCAAGCAGAGACGUCCGGCAGCCAGGGGUCCCUGCAGCUUCCCUCUCCCGCCCGCCCGGUGCCGAGCCAAGGUCCUGAGGCUCGGCAGGUGUUGGCGGCACGCAUCUGGCAGACGCACCUCCACUCGUCUGUGCACCACCCCGCUGUUUGCGGAGCACCCACUCUUCUCCAGGUGCUGUUCCAGGCGACCCCCACGGGCAGCUGCUCCUCCAUCCUGGCCUGGCCGGCGGGGACACAGCAGACACAUCACAGAAGAGGAGCAAGCGGUGCCCGGCUGAGGAGCCGCCAGGGGAGGCGGCAGAGACCUGCUCUUCGGAAUCAGCGUCUGUCCUGUGUCAAGGGCUCCCGGAGGCCGGUGUUGGGGCAGGAGGGGGCCAGGGGGGCCCUGCUGGGCGUGUAACUCUGCAGCCCACCCCCAGCUGCGUCCAGAGAAACCCGAACGAGGAAAGCAGUGCGAGCUUUCUGCAGCCGCCUCCCGGGAACCAGCCCCAGGCCCGUCCUCACGACGGACGGCAGCUCUGGGACCGGCGCGGGGACAGCCCCGUGCAGCCCCGACGGGGCUGGUCCGCGCCACGUGCCACGAGGAAAGCCUGGCGGGACACUGCACGUGCUCAGAACACGGAAAAUCAAGACUCACAGAGCUAUAAAAAUGAAGAGGUGUUAACACUUUGCUCAAGGAGGGAACCGGGCAGAUGUUAGAAAGUUGAGAAGAAAAUUAAUUAAAAGACACUCUUGGGGGGCGCCUGGGGGCUCAGUCGUUUGAGCAUCUGACUCUUGAUUUUGGCUCAGGUCAUGAUCCCAGGGUUGUAGGUUCAAGCCCCAAGUAGGGCUUUUUGCUGGGGUCGCGGAGCCUGCUUAGGAUUCUCUCCCCCCCUCUCUCUGCCCCUCCCCUGCUUGUGUUCUCUCUCUUUCUCUCUCCCUCUCUCAAAAUAAAUACAUAAACUUAGAAAAAAUACUGAAAUGGGUAAGUAGGUGGAGGAAAAGUUGGGUUUUCCGUGGGUGGAGGCAAGGUCAGUGGAACACGGUGGGUAAGAAAGAAUGUGCGUGAUUGUCCAUCACGGACGACUUCCAGAGAGGGUCCUCCUGGGGGGGAGGAGCCCCGCAGGGGGCACCUCUGUCCGGCUUCACCGUGCACCCUGCAGCCCGGCCAGGAUCCCGCGCACAGCCAGGACACGGACUGGGUGUUCAGCCGGCCCCUCUCUGACUCGACUGACACGUUGAACCGCUUACGUUUAUAGAAUUGUAGCUCCGUGACAGGCAGGGGCCGCCGACACAGGCCGCCAGGCUGCUCACUGCGCUCCACGCCGACUGCUGUCCUCGCCUGCUGGUUCCCUGUGUGUGUGGCUCUGGAAGCAUCGACCUCUGUGGUGACCUUCAGACCCACCCAAGAUACUUCGUAGUUACAGAAGUCUGCGUUAAGCUAAAAACUUUUUAUUUUCGACUGCACACGAAAACCCCUGUGCUCCUGUCCCCACCCCCACACACAGUAUUUUGUCAUGAUUUGUAUCUAUUUCUGUGGCAUAUAUUUUAACAUAUUUGUUGGUUAUGGUUAUUUCAGAUACGUUUGCUUAUACUUUUUUUUAAUGUUUACUUAUUUUUGAGAGAGAGAGACAGAGCGCAAGCAGGGGAGGGGCGGGAGAGGCAGACACAGAAUCCAAAGCGGGCUCCGGGCCCAAAGUGGAGCUCGAACUCAUGGAUCGUGAGAUCAUGCCUGAACUGAAGUCACCCGCUUAACCGACUGAGCCACCCAGGCGCCCCGUUUAUACUUUUCCUGCUAGACUUAGAAGCGGUUCACCAGCACCCCCGCGGUGACGCAGUGCCACGUGUUUGUCUAUGGAUUUCCCCGCAGCCGUGGGUUUCACGCUUCCUCGCGCUAGUGUGUUCUUCUACACUGUGAUUCCAAUUUUACAAAGUCCAAAAACAAGCAAAACUGAACAAUACAGCUACAUACACACGUACACACAGACAGAUACAUACGUGUGCAUAUUACAUGUUCACCAGCAUUGCUUUGUGGAAGCCAGUGACCCACAUAACUUCGUGGGAGCGUCUGACAGACACGACGCUUUCUGAAGGGAGCCAAACACAGUGGGCUCCGUACUACCGGCUUUUACGAAGCUCAAGGCCAGGCCACCCUCACGUACAGAGACAGAGACCAGGACAGUGGUUCUCCGGCAGGGAGCGACCGGGGCACCGGAGAGCUUCUGGGGUCCGGGAACACCCACGUCCUGCACGGAGCAGGGUCACCCAGCUGAACACAUCUGUAAAACUUAUCCUUGAGAUUAGGGCCCUGGGGCGCCUGGGUGGCUCUGCUGGGUGAGCGACCGACUUCGGCUCAGGUCAUGAUCUCGUCAUUCCCAAGUUCAAGCCCCAUGUCGGGCUCUGGGCUGCCAGCUCGGAGCCUGGAGUCUGCUUCACAUUCUGUGUCUGUCUCUCUCUCAAAAAUAAACACUAAAAAAGUUUUUAAAGAAGAUUAGCACAUUAACUGUGGGUCAGUGACGCCUGAAUUAAGAGUUAAAGCCCAGGAUCGAGGUGCGGAGGGGCUGAGAGCCGGACCGGCAGUGGCGGCUUCAGGGGUCUCGUGAGCUCAUCACACCUUUAUCUAUGUGCCACAGAGAGCAUUUUAUAUGUAUCGAAUCCUAAUGAAAAGGUUUAAAAAAAAUUUUUUAAACAUUUUUAUUUAUUUUUGAAGGAGAGGGAGAGACAGAUCAUGAGCAGGGGAGGGGCAGAGAGAGAGGGACACACAGAAUCUGAAGCAGCUCCAGGCUCUGAGCUGUCAGCACAGAGCCCAACGCAGGGCUCGAACCCACGAACCGUGAGAUCAUGAUCUGAGCCGAAGCCGGACGCUCAACCAACUGAGCCACCCAAGUGCCCCUGAAAAUGUUUUUUUUUUUUUUUUUUCCUGAAAACGUUUUUAAAGCGAACAUAUAGGAAUGUACAAAAGUACUUUUUAAUUUCUCAUGUGCAGCGCUUCUUUUCCCUUUGUCGUGAAAAUUUACAGGCUUUAGUGAAAGUCUAAUGUGCAGCUACAUAAACAGCACAUAGAUUAAAAAAAUUUUUUAAUGUUUAUUUAUUUUUGAGAGGGAGAAGGAGAGACAACAUGAACAGGGGAGGGACGGAGAGAGAGGGAGACGCAGAAUGUGAAACAGGCUCCAGACUCCGAGCUGUCAGCACAGAGCCCGACACGGGGCUCGAACUUAUGAACCUCAAGAUUGUGACCUGAGCCACCCAGGAGCCCUCCUCCAAAUGUCUUUACAGUGGAUUUGUUCAACCAAAGACCUGGUCCAGGACCACAUGUCUGUGUUUGUAAAUCUUUUCUUUUUUUAAUUCUUAAUUUACAUCCAAGUUAGUUAACCUACAGUGUAGUAGUGAUUCCAGGAAUAGAAUUUAGAGACUCAUCACUGACAUAGAACACCCAGUGCCCAUCCCAACAAGGGUCCUCCUCAACGCCUCGGUCCAUUUAGCCCAUCCCCCGACCCAAUAAAUCUUUUAAUCUAUGAUAGCCCCGUUCC